Molecule: unclassified non-coding RNA, 306 nt
Filed under: plant metagenome
Description: partial contains 5.8S ribosomal RNA, internal transcribed spacer 2, and large subunit ribosomal RNA
Rfam family: 5.8S ribosomal RNA (bases 1-105)
Source: RNAcentral
GAAAUGCGAUAAGUAGUGUGAAUUGCAGAAUUCAGUGAAUCAUCGAAUCUUUGAACGCACAUUGCGCCCUUUGGUAUUCCUUAGGGCAUGCCUGUUCGAGCGUCAUUUAAACCUUCAAGCUCAGCUUGGUGAUGGGCGACUGUCCCCCCCCCCUCGCGGGGGGGACUCGCCUCAAAAACAUUGGCGGCCGGUACAUUGGCUUCGAGCGCAGCAGAAACGCGGUCUCGAGCCCGGUGGAUCGGCUCCCAUAAGCCUAUUCUUUUAUUUUGACCUCGGAUCAGGUAGGGAUACCCGCUGAACUUAAGC